AACGAACGCUGGCGGCAGGCUUAACACAUGCAAGUCGAACGCUCCGCAAGGAGAGUGGCAGACGGGUGAGUAACACGUGGGAACAUACCCUUUACUACGGAACAACUCCGGGAAACUGGAGCUAAUACCGUAUGUGCCCUUUGGGGGAAAGAUUUAUCGGUAAAGGAUCGACCCGCGUUGGAUUAGCUAGUUGGUGGGGUAAAGGCCUACCAAGGCGACGAUCCAUAGCUGGUCUGAGAGGAUGAUCAGCCACAUUGGGACUGAGACACGGCCCAAACUCCUACGGGAGGCAGCAGUGGGGAAUAUUGGACAAUGGGCGCAAGCCUGAUCCAGCCAUGCCGCGUGUGUGAUGAAGGCCUUAGGGUCGUAAAGCACUUUCACCGGAGAAGAUAAUGACGGUAUCCGGAGAAGAAGCCCCGGCUAACUUCGUGCCAGCCGCCGCUGUAA
This 447-nucleotide ribosomal RNA is filed under the name uncultured bacterium. RNAcentral's name for it is "partial 16S ribosomal RNA". It matches the Rfam family "Bacterial small subunit ribosomal RNA", at positions 29 to 523 of the family's 1533-position model. The record is from RNAcentral.